GUGGCAGGUCAAAAAAAGUCACCGCUUCCAGGUGUAUAACCUGGGAGAGGAAAGUCCGGGCUCCUUUGAGCAUGGCACCGGGUAACUCCCGGGCAUGAGUUUUCGCAAGGAAACUCAUGACAGAUAGUGUCACAGAAAACUGAUACUGCAAUUCACCUUUCAAGGUGAAUUGCAUGGGUGAAAAGGCGGGUUAAAAGCCCACCGCGCAGUUGGUAACAACUGCGGCUUGAAAAACCUUGCCAGGAGCAAAGCCAAACAGCAGGAGACUGCUCGUCUAAUACCUGCGGGUAGGCUGCAAUGGAUGUCGCAUGCAAAUGCGGCACAAGAGAGAUGGUGACUAAACCUUCCCCUCACGGGGAAAGUCUACAGAACCCGGCUUAUUGACCUGCCAUUUUU
Molecule: RNase P RNA, 396 nt
Filed under: Spirochaetaceae bacterium
Lineage: Bacteria; Pseudomonadati; Spirochaetota; Spirochaetia; Spirochaetales; Spirochaetaceae
Description: RNase P RNA component class A
Rfam family: Bacterial RNase P class A
About the family: Ribonuclease P (RNase P) is a ubiquitous endoribonuclease, found in archaea, bacteria and eukarya as well as chloroplasts and mitochondria. Its best characterised activity is the generation of mature 5'-ends of tRNAs by cleaving the 5'-leader elements of precursor-tRNAs. Cellular RNase Ps are ribonucleoproteins.
Source: RNAcentral